This 255-nucleotide ribosomal RNA is filed under the name Klebsiella oxytoca. RNAcentral's name for it is "partial 23S ribosomal RNA". It matches the Rfam family "Bacterial large subunit ribosomal RNA", at positions 224 to 517 of the family's 2925-position model. The record is from RNAcentral. RNAcentral also lists the same sequence under 1 other name. Lineage: Bacteria; Pseudomonadati; Pseudomonadota; Gammaproteobacteria; Enterobacterales; Enterobacteriaceae.
AUCAACCGAGAUUCCCCCAGUAGCGGCGAGCGAACGGGGAGCAGCCCGGAGUCUGAAUCAGCUUGUGUGUUAGUGGAAGCGUCUGGAAAGUCGCAGGGUACAGGGUGAUACUCCCGUACACUAAAACGCACAGGUUGUGAACUCGAAGAGUAGGGCGGGACACGUGGUAUCCUGUCUGAAUAUGGGGGGACCAUCCUCCAAGGCUAAAUACUCCUGACUGACCGAUAGUGAACCAGUACCGUGAGGGAAAGGCGA